AAUAGUUAUCCUUAUAAAAAACUCGGACAAGUCUUAUAUUAAUGUUAAGAUUCUAAAUCAAAUAUUGAACUCUUCCCAUAUAUAUUCAGCUGGUAUCAGAGAAACUAUGAGACGGGUUCUGGUCAAUAUGAAAUUCGAAAAUUGGGCAAAACAGGUUAUUGACCAGGCAAAAAAGUUUACUGAACGUGAAAACGAGAAACGUGUAGAUUUUUACAAGUUCUUAAGUCAAAAUUUUCUGGUCGCUUUUUUUGAAUUUUUGGAUCAAGAAAUUACGUUAAAUUUUAC
Molecule: long non-coding RNA, 285 nt
Organism: Octopus sinensis (East Asian common octopus)
Lineage: Eukaryota; Metazoa; Mollusca; Cephalopoda; Octopoda; Octopodidae
Exons: 3
Source: RefSeq, a predicted model, not a curated record